CAGAGUUUGAUCAUGCUCAGGAUGAACGCUAGCUACAGGCUUAACACAUGCAAGUCGAGGGGCAGCAUGAACUUAGCUUGCUAAGUUUGAUGGCGACCGGCGCACGGGUGAGUAACACGUAUUUAACCUGCCGAUGACUCGGGGAUAGCCUUUCGAAAGAAAGAUUAAUACCCGAUGGCAUAGUUCUUCCGCAUGGUGGAACUAUUAAAGAAUUUCGGUCAUCGAUGGGGAUGCGUUCCAUUAGG
Molecule: ribosomal RNA, 245 nt
Filed under: uncultured bacterium
Lineage: Bacteria
Description: partial 16S ribosomal RNA
Rfam family: Bacterial small subunit ribosomal RNA
Source: RNAcentral